Molecule: ribosomal RNA, 305 nt
Filed under: uncultured bacterium
Lineage: Bacteria
Description: bacterial SSU rRNA
Rfam family: Bacterial small subunit ribosomal RNA
Source: RNAcentral
CCUACGGUAUUCCUCCUUCUUUCCUCUUGCUCCCUGGGGGACACCCUGCCUCAGCAACGCCGCGUGGAGGAUGAAGGUUUUCGGAUUGUAAACUCCUUUUGUUAGAGAAGAUAAUGACGGUAUCUAACGAAUAAGCACCGGCUAACUCCGUGCCAGCAGCCGCGGUAAUACGGAGGGUGCAAGCGUUACUCGGAAUCACUGGGCGUAAAGAGCGCGUAGGCGGGAUAGCAAGUCAGAUGUGAAAUCCUAUGGCUUAACCAUAGAACUGCAUUUGAAACUGUUAUUCUAGAGUAUGGGAGAGGUAG